RNAcentral lists this ribosomal RNA (253 nucleotides) under uncultured bacterium. RNAcentral describes it as "partial 16S ribosomal RNA". It matches the Rfam family "Bacterial small subunit ribosomal RNA", at positions 524 to 776 of the family's 1533-position model. The record is from RNAcentral.
UACGAAGGGGGCUAGCGUUGCUCGGAAUCACUGGGCGUAAAGGGUGCGUAGGCGGGUCUUUAAGUCAGGGGUGAAAUCCUGGAGCUCAACUCCAGAACUGCCUUUGAUACUGAGGAUCUUGAGUUCGGGAGAGGUGAGUGGAACUGGGAGUGUAGAGGUGAAAUUCGUAGAUAUUCGCAAGAACACCAGUGGCGAAGGCGGCUCACUGGCCCGAUACUGACGCUGAGGCACGAAAGCGUGGGGAGCAAACAGG